UACGGAGGGUGCAAGUGUUAUUCGGAAUCACUGGGCGUAAAGAGCACGUAGGCGGAUAGGCAAGUCAGAUGUGAAAUCCCGGAGCUCAACUCCGGAACUGCAUUUGAUACUGCCUGUCUUGAGUGAGGUAGAGGGGAGUGGAAUUCCCGGUGUAGAGGUGAAAUUCGUAGAUAUCGGGAGGAACACCAGAGGCGAAGGCGACUCCCUGGGCCUCUACUGACGCUGAGGUGCGAAAGCGCGGGGAGCAAACAGGAUUAGAUACCCGCGUA
Molecule: ribosomal RNA, 269 nt
Filed under: uncultured prokaryote
Description: partial 16S ribosomal RNA
Rfam family: Bacterial small subunit ribosomal RNA
Source: RNAcentral